UUUACCUCUUAUCAUGUAUAUGUUAUAAGAAAACUUGUUGAUGUGCUUGCUUGCCUUGGUUGUAGUUUAUUAAUGGAUAAACAACAUUAGAUUAAAAAAAUGUAGUCUAAUUAUAAGCAAUGAACUACGUGAUCAUUUUAAUGACAACUACUACAAUUAUAAAAUUGCGUAAGAGUUUUCAUUAAAAUGAUCAUGUAGUAUUCUCAAAAAGAAAAAAAUUAUCAAGUUGUUUGUCAUCGGUGCAAACUCAACUCUCAAAAGGAAUCAGAAAUCACAAAAUUGGUGAGUUUUCAACAUAUGUGACAGAAUCGCACAUCUUAAGUGGCAUUAACACCUUUAUGAAGCGA
This 347-nucleotide long non-coding RNA is filed under the name Trifolium pratense (red clover). Its description in RNAcentral is "long non-coding RNA (TPRA_LNC000564)". Lineage: Eukaryota; Viridiplantae; Streptophyta; Magnoliopsida; Fabales; Fabaceae. The record is from RNAcentral.